CCUACGGGUGGCUGCAGUGGGGAAUAUUGGACAAUGGGGGCAACCCUGAUCCAGCCAUGCCGCGUGUGUGAAGAAGGCCCUCGGGUUGUAAAGCACUUUCAGUGAGGAAGAACGCCUGGUGGUUAAUACCCAUCAGGAAAGACAUCACUCACAGAAGAAGCACCGGCUAACUCCGUGCCAGCAGCCGCGGUAAUACGGAGGGUGCGAGCGUUAAUCGGAAUUACUGGGCGUAAAGCGCGCGUAGGUGGCUUGAUAAGCCGGUUGUGAAAGCCCCGGGCUCAACCUGGGAACGGCAUCCGGAACUGUCAAGCUAGAGUGCAGGAGAGGAAGGUAGAAUGUCCGGUGUAGCGGUGAAAUGCGUAGAGAUCGGGAGGAAUACCAGUGGCGAAGGCGGCAUUCUGGACUGACACUGACACUGAGGUGCGAAAGCGUGGGUAGCAAACAGGAUUAGAUACCCGAGUAGUC
This 465-nucleotide ribosomal RNA is filed under the name Vreelandella stevensii. RNAcentral's name for it is "partial 16S ribosomal RNA". It matches the Rfam family "Bacterial small subunit ribosomal RNA", at positions 338 to 795 of the family's 1533-position model. The record is from RNAcentral. Lineage: Bacteria; Pseudomonadati; Pseudomonadota; Gammaproteobacteria; Oceanospirillales; Halomonadaceae.